AAACAAUGAUUAUAGAAAUUACUCUCUCUCACACACACGCUGAAAUUUGUUGCUGCUGUUAAAUCAACGGAACUUGGUCGGCAUGUUAACAUUAAAAAAAAUCAAAAAAUGUCUGUUUGCAGAUGUUAGCCUUUCACAGUCGACGGAAGAGAUGUCUGAAGGGUUCUGUUAUUGUUUGCAAGUAUUCAAGAAAUUUCUUACUAAUGAAUCGAUGUAAUAGGAGGCAACCCGAAUCAGAUCUAUCCUUGUCAGAUAGAAACUUGUGAGGUCUCGUCUACACAUUUCGAACAUACAUAUAUACAUCGACCCAACGCUUGACUAGAGAAAUCAACCAACCAACCAAUAUGCUAACGUUUAUAUCGGACAUCUUGAAGAGAUUUGCGACUGUAUCACCAUACAAAAAUAUGUUCUAAUCUCCGUUGUGAUUUGUGACUGUAUUA
Molecule: long non-coding RNA, 440 nt
Organism: Octopus bimaculoides (California two-spot octopus)
Lineage: Eukaryota; Metazoa; Mollusca; Cephalopoda; Octopoda; Octopodidae
Source: RefSeq, a predicted model, not a curated record